Molecule: ribosomal RNA, 506 nt
Filed under: uncultured bacterium
Lineage: Bacteria
Description: partial 16S ribosomal RNA
Rfam family: Bacterial small subunit ribosomal RNA
Source: RNAcentral
GAUGAACGCUAGCUACAGGCUUAACACAUGCAAGUCGAGGGGUAACGAGAGGAAAGCUUGCUUUCCUUGUCGACGACCGGCGCACGGGUGAGUAACGCGUAUCCAACCUGCCCCCAACUAGGGAAUAACCUUGCGAAAGUAAGACUAAUACCCUAUAAUUUCCUCAGAUGUCAUCUGACGAGGAAUAAAGAUUUAUCGGUUGUGGAUGGGGAUGCGUCUGAUUAGCUUGUUGGCGGGGUAACGGCCUACCAAGGCAACGAUCAGUAGGGGUUCUGAGAGGAAGGUCCCCCACAUUGGAACUGAGACACGGCCCAAACUCCUACGGGAGGCAGCAGUGAGGAAUAUUGGUCAAUGGGCGGAAGCCUGAACCAGCCAAGUAGCGUGCAGGAUGACGGCCCUAUGGGUUGUAAACUGCUUUUAUACAGGAAUAAAGUUAGCCACGUGUGGUUAUUUGUAGGUACUGUAUGAAUAAGGGCCGGCUAAUUCCGUGCCAGCAGCCGCAGUAA